RNAcentral lists this ribosomal RNA (611 nucleotides) under uncultured bacterium. Its description in RNAcentral is "bacterial SSU rRNA". It matches the Rfam family "Bacterial small subunit ribosomal RNA", at positions 232 to 859 of the family's 1533-position model. The record is from RNAcentral.
UGCGGCGGAUUAGCUAGUUGGUGGGGUAACGGCCUACCAAGGCGAUGAUCCGUAGGGGGCGUGAGAGCGUGGCCCCCCACACUGGCACUGAGACACGGGCCAGACUCCUACGGGAGGCAGCAGUGAGGAAUAUUGCACAAUGGGCGGAAGCCUGAUGCAGCAACGCCGCGUGAGGGACGAAGGCCUUCGGGUCGUAAACCUCUUUUCUGGGGGACGAGUAAGGACGGUACCUCAGGAAUAAGUCUCGGCUAACUACGUGCCAGCAGCCGCGGUAAAACGUAGGAGGCGAGCGUUAUCCGGAUUUACUGGGCGUAAAGCGUACGCAGGUGGCUUCGUGAGUCGGACAUGAAAGCUCCCGGCUUAACUGGGAGAGGUUGUUCGAUACUGCGGGGCUUGAGGUUGGGAGAGGGACGUGGAAUUCCCGGUGUAGUGGUGGAAUGCGUAGAUAUCGGGAGGAACACCAGUGGCGCAAGCGGCGUCCUGGCCCACACCUGACGCUGAGGUACGAAAGCGUGGGUAGCAAACAGGAUUAGAUACCCUGGUAGUCCACGCUGUAAACGAUGUCAACUGGGUGUCGGUAGUUUUACACUAUCGGUGCCGAAGCCAACGCG